AAGGCUAUACUUUUAAGGAUAAUUUCUAUAGUCUGUGACUGGAGAAAUUAUGUACUAAAGAGUAAGGUCUCACCUGGGCAAUGGGCAGG
Small nucleolar RNA from Amblyraja radiata (thorny skate), 89 nucleotides. RefSeq annotates it as small nucleolar RNA U3. The transcript has a single exon. NCBI's taxonomy places the organism in Eukaryota, Metazoa, Chordata, Chondrichthyes, Rajiformes, Rajidae. The record is from RefSeq and is a predicted model, not a curated record.